GCCUGAACUCCCCUCUUGGAGGAUGAAAGACGAUGUGUCCCAGCAAUCCAGCCAUACCAACCAUCCCACCCAGUGCUCGGCUCUGAUCUACAGAACUGGCAGUGAGAGGGAAGCUGUGCAUUAGUUUUUGUGGGCUUUAAUGAAGCAGGAUUUGACAGCAUCUCAUAUCAGGUAUCAUCUUUUGCGUGCAUGGGGAGAAGGGCUGAGAAAUGUUCCUUUAACUGGUGCCAAAAGAGAAGGCAGUGAAAGACAAGGAAAAAAAAAUCAGAUGCCUUACAUCAAGGAUUAUUACCAAGUGGUUGGCUCAGUAAUAGCCGCAUGAUGAGGCAAACUAACAGGGAAAAUUUAAAUUAGACGGAAAGGACUGAUUCUUCCAGGAACAAAGAUGCUGACCUGAGGCAACCUUGGCCCACCGUGGAGUGGAGGGUAUGCCCUGAAGUCAAGACUGUUACAGGCUACAGCUUGCCUGCAUGAGAGGCUGCUAGAAAUACAGCAGAGUUGCACCUGCCCAGGACAGUGAAGUCUCACUUCAACUCAGAGUCAGGUGCAUGGAUGAUUCAGUUACAUGCAGAGGCCCCCAGAGCUUCCUGUCUGUUGGCAAAUCAGUGUGCCUGGAACUGGACUCAAGUGCUUUUCUAUAAAACUGUAGGAGGAGCCGCACUGGAGAAACUCGAAUCAGGAAAUAAUUUUCUGGCACUUUUUCUGCUGAUGCUGUUUUAUGAAAGGCAGGAAGAAAGAAUUCCACAGAAAAGAGCUGGUAUGAGUAAUUUCCAUAUGAACUGAAGCUUCAUAUAAACAUCUGAAAUAAAAUGUCUCCAGCCUGAGGGAACAGUGAGAGAACCCUGAGUACAGUCCUGCAAUGGGACAGACUUCCUGCUCCACUGUGAUGGGGCCACGUGAGUAAAAUCUGAGGAACUAGGCCAAGCGGGAUCAAGCCUUGCCCACCAGACAGAUUUACAUGACACACCUUGAUUCCUUCCUUCCCACUCUCCCUUCCUUGCCUCUCGCUUAGGGAACACACCCUCUCCAUUUCUAUUAUGGGGGAAAUAAGUGCAACUGGAAAUAUCAUGUAUCUGGAGGGAAUGAAAUCAUGGGUCAUCCAACUAGGAUGUUUCCUAGCGCGACCAACACACUCAAAACAUCCUUCCUUACAGCAAGGAAAGCAGUGGGACUAAGCUGAGGCAAGCACAACAUUUAAGGAGGCCCUGACUCUCAAACGCUGACUCUGCAUAUGCACAUCCCGGAGAGUGAGUGUCUCCUUAAACUUUGUGCCCUAGGGGCCUGGCUUGCUAAGCCAGGGAAGGAUCACCAGCCAGAGCCCUCUUGGGAGCAGCUGCCCCUCCUUCCAAUGGGCCACUAAUGGAUGACCCAGCCCAGCAGCAAUCCCAGAAGGGGUUCCAAGUGACCUCAGGGAACGGAUUUGGGUCAUCCGGUCCUGCAGCAAUGACUUACAGGUGCAGCAAGUUGUAAAAGGACAAUUUUUCAUGUGCAGCAGAACUUGCCUAGGAGAUAUCAAAACUGAAUGCAGUGUUGUCAAAGAAUCCAGAGGUCCAACCCUCACUGAACCACUGAACCUAACCAAAGACACUUUCCUGACCAAUAAACAGUGGGACUUGUUUUAACCAACUGCAUGGGUACAGAGCUUUGGACUCCUAUCUCAGUGGCUAGUUUUCAAUCCUUAAUUAGCAUAACCGUGGACUUCCCCUUCUAGUACUUAAAAUCCCCACUGGCCUCCCUCAGACAACACUUACGGCUCUCUCUCUCUCUCUCUCUCUCUCUGUCUCUGCCUCUGUGUGUGUGUGUGUGUGUGCAAGGUUGAGUGGUCUUUGUUUUAUUCUUUGACAAUCAAAUUCCAGGAAUGUGCUUUCUCUUCCCAGUGCAUUUGAAUUGUGUGCCGGUUUGAAUGUAUUAUGUCCCCCAGAAAAAGUCAUAUCCUUUGAUGCAGUCUUGUGGGGCAGACGUUUUAGUGCUGAAUGGCUUGGAAUCC
Long non-coding RNA from Choloepus didactylus (southern two-toed sloth), 1987 nucleotides. RefSeq lists it as uncharacterized. The record is from RefSeq and is a predicted model, not a curated record. Lineage: Eukaryota; Metazoa; Chordata; Mammalia; Pilosa; Megalonychidae. The transcript has 3 exons.